GAUGAACGCUGGCGGCGUGCCUAAUACAUGCAAGUCGAGCGAACGGACGAGAAGCUUGCUUCUCUGCUGUUAGCGGCUGACGGGUGAGUAACACGUGGAUAACCUACCUAUAAGACUGGGAUAACUUCGGGAAACCGGAGCUAAUACCGGAUAAUAUUUUGAACCGCAUGGUUCAAAAGUGAAAGACGGCCUUGCUGUCACUUAUAGAUGGAUCCGCGCUGCAUUAGCUAGUUGGUAAGGUAACGGCUUACCAAGGCAACGAUGCAUAGCCGACCUGAGAGGGUGAUCGGCCACACUGGAACUGAGACACGGUCCAGACUCCUACGGGAGGCAGCAGUAGGGAAUCUUCCGCAAUGGGCGAAAGCCUGACGGAGCAACGCCGCGUGAGUGAUGAAGGUCUUCGGAUCGUAAAACUCUGUUAUUAGGGAAGAACAUAUGUGUAAGUAACUGUGCACAUCUUGACGGUACCUAAUCAGAAAGCCACGGCUAACUACGUG
Molecule: ribosomal RNA, 497 nt
Filed under: uncultured bacterium
Lineage: Bacteria
Description: partial 16S ribosomal RNA
Rfam family: Bacterial small subunit ribosomal RNA
Source: RNAcentral